UGCCUCCCCUCAGGACGUCCUAGCCACUCCCUCAGCUCCAGCAUGCCCUGCCCACAAGUCUUCCCCUUAAUCCAAGACUGGGGGACAUGUCAGGGAGUGUGGGAUUUUGAGAGCAUGGGUAAUACCUUCCCCAUGUAUCCUAACCCACCCAUGUCACACACCACCUCAGAUUUUGUGUGCUUUAAGUUUUCAACAAGAUGGCUGUUCUUGAAAACGUGUGCCUGUGUUUAUCACCUUUUAGCUUUGUAGAGACAGGAUGCACCUGGCUCAAUAUUUGGCCAAGCUAGCAAAAUGGGUGUUGACGUUGGAGGAGUGGGGAAAACAUGUCUGUUAGUAUGGAAAAACAUGCUUGUUUUUAAAGUAUAAAUAAAGAUGGCUGGAGCUAUUCGGGGCCGGCCACUUGUGUGAAA
Molecule: long non-coding RNA, 410 nt
Organism: Peromyscus eremicus (cactus mouse)
Lineage: Eukaryota; Metazoa; Chordata; Mammalia; Rodentia; Cricetidae
Exons: 3
Source: RefSeq, a predicted model, not a curated record